AAAGGAAUUGACGGGGGCCCGCACAAGCGGAGGAACAUGUGGUUUAAUUCGAUGAUACGCGAGGAACCUUACCUGGGCUUAAAUGGGAGACGACUUCUGCCGAAAGGUGGAUUUCCUUCGGGACGGCUCUCAAGGUGCUGCAUGGUUGUCGUCAGCUCGUGCCGUGAGGUGUCGGGUUAAGUCCCAUAACGAGCGCAACCCCUAUCGUUAGUUGCCAACGGGUAAUGCCGGGGACUCUAGCGAAACUGCCAGCGUAAGCUGUGAGGAAGGUGGGGAUGACGUCAAAUCAGCACGGCCCUUACGUCCAGGGCUACACACGUGUUACAAUGGCCGGUACAGAGGGCUGCUACUGGGCGACCAGAUGCUAAUCUCUAAAGCCGGUCUUAGUUCGGAUUGAAGUCUGAAACUCGACUUCAUGAAGUUGGAUUCGCUAGUAAUCGCGCAUCAGCCACGGCGCGGUGAAUCCGUUCCCGGGCCUUGUACACACCGCCCGU
This 494-nucleotide ribosomal RNA is filed under the name uncultured bacterium. RNAcentral describes it as "bacterial SSU rRNA". It matches the Rfam family "Bacterial small subunit ribosomal RNA", at positions 903 to 1397 of the family's 1533-position model. The record is from RNAcentral.